This 28-nucleotide small RNA is filed under the name Bombyx mori (domestic silkworm). Its description in RNAcentral is "piRNA piR-bmo-2149488". The record is from RNAcentral. Lineage: Eukaryota; Metazoa; Arthropoda; Insecta; Lepidoptera; Bombycidae.
UGACUGACUUGGCGAGGGCCGAUACAAA